Long non-coding RNA from Mya arenaria, 1251 nucleotides. RefSeq lists it as uncharacterized. Lineage: Eukaryota; Metazoa; Mollusca; Bivalvia; Myida; Myidae. The transcript has 3 exons. The record is from RefSeq and is a predicted model, not a curated record.
GCUAAGUUUUACUGGUUAUUUACAGACCACUGUCGAUUUGUUAACUGUUGAGUGCAACUCGUUUGUUUUGGUUUUUUGACGUUCCGUCGUGUCGGGUGCGCUCUGCACCACGAGUCUAAAACAAGCAAAUUCUAGUCCUAUAGCCCCUCACAGUUACCUUCCACAAGACUCAUUGAUCCUUCAACAGACUGGCCCCUGCUUCAAUGAUGACGACUUCUCAGCAGACACCACAAACAGUUUGGGCUCUGAGCCGAAAGAGUUCCAAAUAAUGGGCAUCACAUCAGCCCACAAAUACCAGUGCUGCCCAAACUCAGAAUGUCGCAACAAAAAGUUAGAAAAUGACAGUUGUCCGACAUGCAAAGGCAAGUCCUUAACAAGACAAACCUACUUCAGUGCCGCACAAGUAGUGCUAAAAAGAAGUGAUGGAUCCUAUGAAAUGAGAAAAAUGUUCCACACUGACCUAAAGCUGAUAUGUGAAAUGCCAGACUUAAACACAGAUGGGAGAAGAUCCAGCCCUAUACCAAUUUUUAACAGGAUUGCUACCAAUCAAUGCCCGUGGCCUCUUUCUCAAUGGAAAAAUAACCAUCAUGUCUACAAAACGUCAACACGAUCGUUGAACAGAUCUACUAUACUUGGAGCUUUAACCUUUACUAGUGUUCAUAGGACAGUUCUUACAAGACAAUCAUUCUUAAGUCAACCAAGUCACUCUCAAAAACAAACAUUUCAUGCUUAGGGAAUAACAAAACAGUCUCACACUAAAUUACAGCUCAUUUGUGAAUUGCCUGACUUACAAGAUAAGGCAAAAUAUCCAGCCCUGAACUUGUUCUUCACAGCAUUGUAAAUUAUCAAUGGUUGUGAACUCUUCCAUAACACAUAAAUUACUAACAUUCUGACCAAACAUCAUCAUCAUAGUUCUCAUAACAUUGCCAGAACCCAUCAUUCUUAUCUUUUUAUUAACAAUACAAAACUUUAACAUUAUUGCCAUUUCCGGAUCUUAUUGCCUACUUGUAAUCAUGUUAUGUAACUGAAAUAUCAUAUGCUUUCAUUUCUCAUGUUCACUUAGCUUCAAAACAAAGAUAAACAAAGAUAAUUUCAACUUCAUCUCCCUUCUUCUGUUAUAUUUCUCUAUUACAUAAUGUCCAUUAUAGUGCAACAUCAUCUGGUUUCCUUAUUUGCUAUUACUACAUUAUUAUGUUAUUUUUGGCUUAAGCAUGAACACUUCAGUCAUUUAAAUAAUGGUUUACAUUGCAU